UAGGGAAUCUUCCGCAAUGGGCGAAAGCCUGACGGAGCAACGCCGCGUGAGUGAUGAAGGUCUUCGGACCGUAAAACUCUGUUAUUAGGGAAGAACAAACGUGUAAGUAACUAUGCACGUCUUGACGGUACCUAAUCAGAAAGCCACGGCUAACUACGUGCCAGCAGCCGCGGUAAUACGUAGGUGGCAAGCGUUAUCCGGAAUUAUUGGGCGUAAAGCGCGCGUAGGCGGUGUUUUAAGUCUGAUGUGAAAGCCCACGGCUCAACCGUGGAGGGUCAUUGGAAACUGGAAAGCUUGAGUGCAGAAGAGGAAAGUGGAAUUCCAUGUGUAGCGGUGAAAUGCGCAGAGAUAUGGAGAAGCACCAGUGGGGAAGGCGACUUUCUGGAAUGUAACUGACGCUAAUGUGCGAAAGCGUGGGGAUCAAACAGG
Molecule: ribosomal RNA, 429 nt
Filed under: Actinomycetes bacterium
Lineage: Bacteria; Bacillati; Actinomycetota; Actinomycetes
Description: Actinobacteria bacterium partial 16S ribosomal RNA
Rfam family: Bacterial small subunit ribosomal RNA
Source: RNAcentral